Molecule: ribosomal RNA, 253 nt
Filed under: uncultured bacterium
Lineage: Bacteria
Description: partial 16S ribosomal RNA
Rfam family: Bacterial small subunit ribosomal RNA
Source: RNAcentral
UACAGAGGUCCCAAGCGUUGUUCGGAUUCACUGGGCGUAAAGGGUGCGUAGGCGGUUGGGUAAGUCUGACGUGAAAUCUCCGGGCCUAACCCGGAAACUGCGUCGGAUACUAUCCUGCUAGAGGAUUGGAAGGGAGACUGGAAUACUUGGUGUAGCAGUGAAAUGCGUAGAUAUCAAGUGGAACACCAGUGGCGAAGGCGAGUCCCUGGACAACUCCUGACACUGAGGCACGAAAGCUAGGGGAGCAAACAGG